UACGUAGGGGGCGAGCGUUGUCCGGAUUUAUUGGGCGUAAAGAGCGUGUAGGCGGCCAGGUAGGUCUGCUGUGAAAACUCGAGGCUCAACCUCGAGACGUCGGCGGAAACCAUCUGGCUAGAGUCCGGAAGAGGAGAGUGGAAUUCCUGGUGUAGCGGUGAAAUGCGCAGAUAUCAGGAAGAACACCCGUGGCGAAGGCGGCUCUCUGGGACGGUACUGACGCUGAGGCACGAAAGCCAGGGUAGCGAACGGG
Molecule: ribosomal RNA, 253 nt
Filed under: uncultured bacterium
Lineage: Bacteria
Description: partial 16S ribosomal RNA
Rfam family: Bacterial small subunit ribosomal RNA
Source: RNAcentral